RNAcentral lists this ribosomal RNA (483 nucleotides) under uncultured bacterium. Its description in RNAcentral is "partial 16S ribosomal RNA". It matches the Rfam family "Bacterial small subunit ribosomal RNA", at positions 28 to 523 of the family's 1533-position model. The record is from RNAcentral.
GACGAACGCUGGCGGCGUGCUUAACACAUGCAAGUCGAACGAUGAAGCCGGAGCUUGCUCCGGUGGAUUAGUGGCGAACGGGUGAGUAACACGUGAGCAAUCUGCCCUUGACUCUGGGUUAACUGCGGGAAACUGUAGCUAAUACCGGUUACGACACCUUGGGGCAUCCCAGGGUGUGGAAAGAAUUUCGGUCAAGGAUGAGCUCGCGGCCUAUCAGCUAGUUGGUGAGGUAAUGGCGCACCAAGGCGACGACGGGUAGCCGGCCUGAGAGGGUGACCGGCCACACUGGAACUGAGACACGGUCCAGACUCCUACGGGAGGCAGCAGUGGGGAAUAUUGCACAAUGGGCGAAAGCCUGAUGCAGCAACGCCGCGUGAGGGAUGAAGGCCUUCGGGUUGUAAACCUCUUUUAGCAGGGAAGAAGCGAAAGUGACGGUACCUGCAGAAAAAGCACCGGCUAACUACGUGCCAGCAGCCGCGGUAA